GACGCAGCAACGCCGCGUGGGUGAAGAAGGCCUUCGGGUCGUAAAGCCCUUCGGACGGGACGAACGCUUCGCGGCGACAACCCGCGAAGUCUGACGGUACCGUAGGAAGAAGCACCGGCUAACUCCGUGCCAGCAGCCGCGGUAAUACGGAGGGUGCGAGCGUUGUUCGGAAUUACUGGGCGUAAAGCGCGUGUAGGCGGCCCUGUAAGUCAGAUGUGAAAGCCCUCGGCUUAACCGGGGAAGUGCAUCUGAAACUGCUUGGCUUGAGUACCGGAGAGGGAGGCGGAAUUCCCAGUGUAGAGGUGAAAUUCGUAGAUAUUGGGAGGAACACCGGUGGCGAAAGCGGCCUCCUGGACGGAUACUGACGCUGAGACGCGAAAGCGUGGGGAGCAAACAGGAUUAGAUACCCCGGUAGUCCUAGCCGUAAACGAUGGACACUAGGUGUUGGUGGUAUCAACCCCACCAGUGCCGAAGCUAACGCAUUAAGUGUCCCGCCUGGGGAGUACGGCCGCAAGGCUA
This 519-nucleotide ribosomal RNA is filed under the name uncultured Pseudomonadota bacterium. RNAcentral describes it as "bacterial SSU rRNA". It matches the Rfam family "Bacterial small subunit ribosomal RNA", at positions 385 to 896 of the family's 1533-position model. The record is from RNAcentral. Lineage: Bacteria; Pseudomonadati; Pseudomonadota.